GUUAGGAAUAUUGGACAAUGGGCGCAAGCCUGAUCCAGCCAUGCCGCGUGAACGAUGAAGGCCUUCGGGUUGUAAAGUUCUUUAGCCGAUGAUUAUAAUGACUGUAGUCGGAAAAUAAGUCCCGGCUAACUUCGUGCCAGCAGCCGCGGUAAUACGAAGGGGGCGAGCGUUAUUCGGAAUCACUGGGCGUAAAGCGUGCGUAGGCGGUCUCGUAAGUUAGGAGUGAAAGCCCAGGGCUCAACCUUGGAAUUGCUCUUAAAACUGCAAGGCUAGAAUAUCGGAGAGGAUAGCGGAAUUUCCAGUGUAGCAGUGAAAUGCGUAGAUAUUGGAAGGAACACCAGUGGCGUAAGCGGCUAUCUGGACGAGUAUUGACGCUGAGGUGCGAAAGUGUGGGGAGCAAACAGGAUUAGAAACCCCAGUAGUCC
Molecule: ribosomal RNA, 425 nt
Filed under: uncultured bacterium
Lineage: Bacteria
Description: partial 16S ribosomal RNA
Rfam family: Bacterial small subunit ribosomal RNA
Source: RNAcentral